GAUGAAGAACGCAGCGAAAUGCGAUAAGUAAUGUGAAUUGCAGAAUUCCGUGAAUCAUUGAAUCUUUGAACGCACAUUGCGCCCGUCAGUAUUCUGGCGGGCAUGCCUGUUCGAGCGUCAUUACGCCCCUCAAGUCCCCUGUGGACUUGGUGUUGGGGAUCGGCGAGGCUGGUUUUCCAGCACAGCCGUCCCUUAAAUUAAUUGGCGGUCUCGCCGUGGCCCUCCUCUGCGCAGUAGUAAAACACUCGCAACAGGAGCCCGGCGCGGUCCACUGCCGUAAAACCCCCCAACUUUUUAUAGUUGACCUCGAAUCAGGUAGGACUACCCGCUGAACUUAAGCAUAUCAAUAAGCGGAGGA
This 358-nucleotide unclassified non-coding RNA is filed under the name soil metagenome. Its description in RNAcentral is "partial contains 5.8S ribosomal RNA, internal transcribed spacer 2, and large subunit ribosomal RNA". The stretch from base 1 to 120 matches the Rfam family "5.8S ribosomal RNA", at positions 35 to 154 of the family's 154-position model. The record is from RNAcentral.